GCUGGGCGUGGUGGUGCACGCCUGUAAUCCCAUUGGCUUGGGAGGCUGAAGCAGGAGAAUCGCAAGUUUAAAACCAGCCUCAGCAAAAGCAAGGCAGUAAGCAAUUCAGUGAGACCCUGUCUCUA
RNAcentral lists this small RNA (125 nucleotides) under Marmota monax (woodchuck). The record is from RNAcentral. Lineage: Eukaryota; Metazoa; Chordata; Mammalia; Rodentia; Sciuridae.